This is a non-coding RNA of Nothobranchius furzeri (turquoise killifish), 1779 nucleotides long. NCBI's taxonomy places the organism in Eukaryota, Metazoa, Chordata, Actinopteri, Cyprinodontiformes, Nothobranchiidae. The record is from RefSeq and is a predicted model, not a curated record.
CUCUCUCUCUCUCUCUCUCUCUCUCUCUCUCUCUCUCCCUCUCUCUCUCUCUCUCUCUCUCUCUCUCUCUCUCUCUCUCUCUCUCUCUCUCUCUCUCUCUCUCUCUCUCUCUCUCUCUCUCUUUCUCUCUCUCUCUCCACCCAGCCCUUCAUUUCCAGCGGACAGAUCUCUCGUCACAGCCAGCGCAUUUUAUUUAUGCCCUCUUCACUUCUUUUGCACGAAUGGACCCUUGCACAAGAGAGAGAGAGAGAAAGCUUCUAGUUAAAGCAGAGGAGAAAAAAGAAAGAGAGGUGGGGAGAGUGGGGGGUGAUGUUGUAAAAGCUGUGCAGAAGUGACAACGCUACGCGCACCGGCUUUGCUUGAGAAAGACAAAAUUGUGUGUGACGUGACAAAAUGGAAAAGGGAGACGUUUUAAAUUGCAACCUUAAAUGCUAUUACUUCGAUAUUUUAGGUGAGGGGGGGGAAAGUAGAUUUGGAGGAGAGGGUAGAUAAUCAAAUUGCAGGGGAUUCAUUUUACUUUGAUUUGGAAGUUUAGUUUAAUUUUGGAUAAUAAUAUUAAACUCCUCAUAGGACCUAUUAUUAUUAUUAUUAUUAUUAUUAUUAUUAUUAUUAUUAUUAUUAUUAUUAUUAUUAUUAUUAUUAUUAUUAUUGUGACCAAUAACCCCCAAUUUCUAUUUCCAAAGACUGCCAAUUACGUCUUUUUUCCUUCUUCAGACGACUAUAUCUUAAUAUACGCGCAAGUCUCGCCCAAAACUGACAGCUGUUCUUCUGAUAGUAACUUCUUUCCAAGAUUUUUUUUCUCUCCUCCCCUCCCACCCUGGGGCCCCCCCAGUCUCUGUCUUGCUUUGUUGUUUUAAAAUAUGCAUGUCUCUCCGGAAUGCCAGUCACGGGUCCAAACUUUGUGUGUCCCAACCUCCCACAUGAUGAAAUGAUCCUUUUAAAGCGGGCUCAAUAUGUCUCAAUCUGCACUCCUCUCCCCUCUGUCUAAAAAAAGCUGCUGGGUUCGGGACGCAGCCCAGAAAUAUAUUAAUUAAAGCUCAUUUUGCUGGGGACGGACCUUUUUUUUUUAAAUAAAUCACUGAGGAGCAAGACGCUGUUGGACCAAGUCGAACUCUGUCAGCGAUGGAUGGAUGAAGAUUCACGGCAGCAAAAAGGAGGAAAAGAAAUCAAUGCCGCAGCGCUCACUUGUUCGCCCUGAACUGGCGGUGAACUCCCACGGCACGCCGCCAGCCUCUCUUCCCUAUCCCAUCACAGUUGAGGGUCACCGCGAGGGUGUCUCCGUGCCAAUAUGCAGAUGAGCUUGUGCCCCCCCCCCCCCCCGCCCCGAUGACUGAUGCUAAGCUCCACCUCUCGCUAGAGGGUCUUGAGGCUUCGAUUCAAAGUCUCCUCCCUCCAUUGCAAACAUAAACCUGCUCUCAUACGGACUUAAACGAGCCUUUAACAACUUAUGUCCACUCUUACUUUAAUGGGUGAAGAGUGCUCAAGCAAAUGGAUGUUAUCAAAGCUGAGAUGUGCACUGAUUUAGAGGCUAGACUGAGAUAGAAAGUGAAAAUGUCAGCCCUGGUACAAAUCAACUUAACAUCGUUCAUAGCUACAUGGGUCAAAGAGGAGUUUUCUUGCUGUAUCUUGUUUGUAAAACGAACCUGUAAGUAGUCAAAAGAGUGAGUUUUGAUCGUAGAGCUUGCUGAAAGCUCCUAUAAAAGCCAAGUGAAUGUUUUUAUCACUUUGCCCGCAGAUCUCAUCCUUUGGAUGACUAAUAAACUUACAUUGCGCUGCCUA